UUAAGCGACUAAGCGUACACGGUGGAUGCCCUGGCAGUCAGAGGCGAUGAAGGACGUGCUAAUCUGCGAUAAGCGUCGGUAAGGUGAUAUGAACCGUUAUAACCGGCGAUUUCCGAAUGGGGAAACCCAGUGUGUUUCGACACACUAUCAUUAACUGAAUCCAUAGGUUAAUGAGGCGAACCGGGGGAACUGAAACAUCUAAGUACCCCGAGGAAAAGAAAUCAACCGAGAUUCCCCCAGUAGCGGCGAGCGAACGGGGAGCAGCCCAGAGCCUGAAUCAGUGUGUGUGUUAGUGGAAGCGUCUGGAAAGGCGCGCGAUACAGGGUGACAGCCCCGUACACAAAAAUGCACAUGCUGUGAGCUCGAUGAGUAGGGCGGGACACGUGGUAUCCUGUCUGAAUAUGGGGGGACCAUCCUCCAAGGCUAAAUACUCCUGACUGACCGAUAGUGAACCAGUACCGUGAGGGAAAGGCGAAAAGAACCCCGGCGAGGGGAGUGAAAAAGAACCUGAAACCGUGUACGUACAAGCAGUGGGAGCACGCUUAGGCGUGUGACUGCGUACCUUUUGUAUAAUGGGUCAGCGACUUAUAUUCUGUAGCAAGGUUAACCGAAUAGGGGAGCCGAAGGGAAACCGAGUCUUAACUGGGCGUUAAGUUGCAGGGUAUAGACCCGAAACCCGGUGAUCUAGCCAUGGGCAGGUUGAAGGUUGGGUAACACUAACUGGAGGACCGAACCGACUAAUGUUGAAAAAUUAGCGGAUGACUUGUGGCUGGGGGUGAAAGGCCAAUCAAACCGGGAGAUAGCUGGUUCUCCCCGAAAGCUAUUUAGGUAGCGCCUCGUGAAUUCAUCUCCGGGGGUAGAGCACUGUUUCGGCAAGGGGGUCAUCCCGACUUACCAACCCGAUGCAAACUGCGAAUACCGGAGAAUGUUAUCACGGGAGACACACGGCGGGUGCUAACGUCCGUCGUGAAGAGGGAAACAACCCAGACCGCCAGCUAAGGUCCCAAAGUCAUGGUUAAGUGGGAAACGAUGUGGGAAGGCCCAGACAGCCAGGAUGUUGGCUUAGAAGCAGCCAUCAUUUAAAGAAAGCGUAAUAGCUCACUGGUCGAGUCGGCCUGCGCGGAAGAUGUAACGGGGCUAAACCAUGCACCGAAGCUGCGGCAGCGACGCUUAUGCGUUGUUGGGUAGGGGAGCGUUCUGUAAGCCUGCGAAGGUGUGCUGUGAGGCAUGCUGGAGGUAUCAGAAGUGCGAAUGCUGACAUAAGUAACGAUAAAGCGGGUGAAAAGCCCGCUCGCCGGAAGACCAAGGGUUCCUGUCCAACGUUAAUCGGGGCAGGGUGAGUCGACCCCUAAGGCGAGGCCGAAAGGCGUAGUCGAUGGGAAACAGGUUAAUAUUCCUGUACUUGGUGUUACUGCGAAGGGGGGACGGAGAAGGCUAUGUUGGCCGGGCGACGGUUGUCCCGGUUUAAGCGUGUAGGCUGGUUUUCCAGGCAAAUCCGGAAAAUCAAGGCUGAGGCGUGAUGACGAGGCACUACGGUGCUGAAGCAACAAAUGCCCUGCUUCCAGGAAAAGCCUCUAAGCAUCAGGUAACAUCAAAUCGUACCCCAAACCGACACAGGUGGUCAGGUAGAGAAUACCAAGGCGCUUGAGAGAACUCGGGUGAAGGAACUAGGCAAAAUGGUGCCGUAACUUCGGGAGAAGGCACGCUGAUAUGUAGGUGAGGUCCCUCGCGGAUGGAGCUGAAAUCAGUCGAAGAUACCAGCUGGCUGCAACUGUUUAUUAAAAACACAGCACUGUGCAAACACGAAAGUGGACGUAUACGGUGUGACGCCUGCCCGGUGCCGGAAGGUUAAUUGAUGGGGUUAGCGCAAGCGAAGCUCUUGAUCGAAGCCCCGGUAAACGGCGGCCGUAACUAUAACGGUCCUAAGGUAGCGAAAUUCCUUGUCGGGUAAGUUCCGACCUGCACGAAUGGUGUAAUGAUCUGGACGCUGUCUCAACCGUGAGCUCAGUGAAAUUGUAGUAUCGGUGAAGAUGCCGAUUACCCGCGAUGGGACGAAAAGACCCCGUGAACCUUUACUAUAGCUUAACAUUGAAUUUGGGUAAUUGAUGUGUAGGAUAGGCCGGAGGCUUCGAAGCGGGCACGCCAGUGUCCGUGGAGCCGCUGUUGAAAUACGGCCCUUUGAUUAUUUGAGUUCUAACCCGUUGUUGCGGGGACACUGUUUGGUGGGUAGUUUGACUGGGGUGGUCGCCUCCAAAAGCGUAACGGAGGCUUCUAAAGGUGCCCUCACGACGAUUGGUAACCGUCGGCAGAGUGUAAUGGCAUAAGGGCGCUUGACUGGGAGACUCACAAGUCGAUCAGGUAGGAAACUAGAGCAUAGUGAUCCGGUGUUUCUGUAUGGAAAGGACAUCGCUCAAAGGAUAAAAGGUACUCCGGGGAUAACAGGCUGAUCCCUCCCAAGAGCUCAUAUCGACGGAGGGGUUUGGCACCUUGAUGUCGGCUCGUCACAUCCUGGGGCUGGAGAAGGUCCCAAGGGUUCGGCUGUUCGCCGAUUAAAGUGGCACGCGAGCUGGGUUCAGAACGUCGUGAGACAGUUCGGUCUCUAUCUAUCGUGGGCGUAUGAAAUUUGCGUGGCUCUGACACUAGUACGAGAGGACCGUGUUGGACAGACCUCUGGUUUGCCGGUUGUGCCGCCAGGUGCAUUGCCGGGUAUCUAAGUCUGGAUCGGAUAAGUGCUGAAAGCAUCUAAGUACGAAGCCGGCCACAAGAUUAGAUUUCUCAGGGUCGUUGUAGACUACGACGUUGAUAGGAUGCAGGUGUAAAGAUGGAGACAUCAAAGCCGAGCAUUACUAAUUGCCCGUUCACUUUCCUU
RNAcentral lists this ribosomal RNA (2869 nucleotides) under human gut metagenome. RNAcentral describes it as "bacterial LSU rRNA". It matches the Rfam family "Bacterial large subunit ribosomal RNA". The record is from RNAcentral.